RNAcentral lists this ribosomal RNA (258 nucleotides) under uncultured bacterium. RNAcentral describes it as "partial 16S ribosomal RNA". It matches the Rfam family "Bacterial small subunit ribosomal RNA", at positions 15 to 266 of the family's 1533-position model. The record is from RNAcentral.
GAUCCUGGCUCAGGACGAACGCUGGCGGCGUGCCUAACACAUGCAAGUCGAGCGGAGACAGUGAGUAGCUUGCUAUGAACUGUUUUAGCGGCGGACGGGUGAGUAACGCGUGAGCAACCUUUCCCAGACAGGGGAAUAACACACCUAAAGGUGUACUAAUACCGCAUAAGACCACGGGAUCACAUGGUUCUGGGGUAAAAGAUUUAUCGGUUUGGGGUGGGCUCGCGUCCGAUUAGGUAGUUGGCGAGGUAACGGCCC